Molecule: ribosomal RNA, 253 nt
Filed under: uncultured bacterium
Lineage: Bacteria
Description: partial 16S ribosomal RNA
Rfam family: Bacterial small subunit ribosomal RNA
Source: RNAcentral
UACGGAGGGUGCGAGCGUUGUCCGGAAUCAUUGGGCGUAAAGGGCGCGUAGGUGGCGGCUUAAGCGUGCGGUGAAAGCUCGGGGCUCAACCCCGAGUCGGCCGUGCGAACUGAGUCGCUUGAGCACUGUAGAGGCAGGCGGAAUUCCGGGUGUAGCGGUGGAAUGCGUAGAGAUCCGGAAGAACACCCGUGGCUAAGGCGGCUCUCUGAGUACGUGACUGACGCUGAGAGCGAAAGCGUGGGGAGCAAACAGG